This 587-nucleotide ribosomal RNA is filed under the name uncultured bacterium. RNAcentral's name for it is "partial 16S ribosomal RNA". It matches the Rfam family "Bacterial small subunit ribosomal RNA", at positions 355 to 1375 of the family's 1533-position model. The record is from RNAcentral.
UGGGGAAUUUUGGACAAUGGGCGAAAGCCUGAUCCAGCAAUGCCGCGUGUGUGAAGAAGGCCUUCGGGUUGUAAAGCACUUUUGUCCGGAAAGAAAUCCUUGGCUCUAAUACAGUCGGGGGAUGACGGUACCGGAAGAAUAAGCACCGGCUAACUACGUGCCAGCAGCCGCGGUAAUACGUAGGGUGCAAGCGUUAAUCGGAAUUACUGGGCGUAAAGCGUGCGCAGGCGGUUUGCUAAGACCGAUGUGAAAUCCCCGGGCUCAACCUGGGAACUGCAUUGGUGACUGGCAGGCUAGAGUAUGGCAGAGGGGGGUAGAAUUCCACGUGUAGCAGUGAAAUGCGUAGAGAUGUGGAGGAAUACCGAUGGCGAAGGCAGCCCCCUGGGCCAAUACUGACGCUCAUGCAGCGAAAGCGUGGGGAGCAAACAGGAUUAGAUACCCUGGUAGUCCACGCCCUAAAACGAUGUCAACUAGUUGUUGGGGAUUCAUUUCCUUAGUAACGUAGCUAACGCGUGAAGUUGACCGCCUGGGGAGUACGGUCGCAAGAUUAAAACUCAAAUGAAUUGACGGGGUCAUAGCUGUUUCCU